RNAcentral lists this ribosomal RNA (396 nucleotides) under uncultured bacterium. Its description in RNAcentral is "bacterial SSU rRNA". It matches the Rfam family "Bacterial small subunit ribosomal RNA", at positions 28 to 414 of the family's 1533-position model. The record is from RNAcentral.
GACGAACGCUGGCGGCGUGCUUAACACAUGCAAGUCGAGCGAGAGCCAGUUGAGGGGUAACCCUCGGCUGGGGACAGCGGCGAACGGGUGCGUAACACGUGGGCAACCUGCCCCUGAUACUGGGAUAACCCCGGGGAAACCGGAGCUAAUACCGGAUACUCUCGGCCGAUCACAUGGCUGGCCGAGGAAAGGUCCGCCGGUCAGGGAUGGGCCCGCGGCCUAUCAGCUUGUUGGUGGGGUAACGGCCCACCAAGGCGACGACGGGUAGCUGGUCUGAGAGGACGACCAGCCACACUGGAACUGAGAUACGGUCCAGACUCCUACGGGAGGCAGCAGUGGGGAAUAUUGCACAAUGGGCGAAAGCCUGAUGCAGCGACGCCGCGUGAGGGAUGAAGG